UUUUCCUACGGGGGGCAGCAGUGGGGAAUAUUGCACAAUGGGGGAAACCCUGAUGCAGCAACGCCGCGUGAGUGAAGAAGUCAUUCGUGAUGUAAAGCUCUGUCGCAGGGGACGAAAAUGACGGUACCCUGCAAGAAAGCUCCGGCUAACUACGUGCCAGCAGCCGCGGUAAUACGUAGGGAGCAAGCGUUGUCCGGAAUUACUGGGUGUAAAGGGAGCGUAGGCGGGAGGAUAAGUUGAAUGUGAAAUCCAUGGGCUCAACCCAUGGCUGCGUUCAAAACUGUUCUUCUUGAGUGAAGUAGAGG
This 305-nucleotide ribosomal RNA is filed under the name uncultured bacterium. RNAcentral describes it as "bacterial SSU rRNA". It matches the Rfam family "Bacterial small subunit ribosomal RNA", at positions 334 to 657 of the family's 1533-position model. The record is from RNAcentral.